CGAAAGUCUGACGGAGCAACGCCGCGUGAGUGAUGAAGGUUUUCGGAUCGUAAAGCUCUGUUGUUAGGGAAGAACAAGUACCGUUCGAAUAGGGCGGUACCUUGACGGUACCUAACCAGAAAGCCACGGCUAACUACGUGCCAGCAGCCGCGGUAAUACGUAGGUGGCAAGCGUUGUCCGGAAUUAUUGGGCGUAAAGGGCUCGCAGGCGGUUUCUUAAGUCUGAUGUGAAAGCCCCCGGCUCAACCGGGGAGGGUCAUUGGAAACUGGGGAACUUGAGUGCAGAAGAGGAGAGUGGAAUUCCACGUGUAGCGGUGAAAUGCGUAGAGAUGUGGAGGAACACCAGUGGCGAAGGCGACUCUCUGGUCUGUAACUGACGCUGAGGAGCGAAAGCGUGGGGAGCGAACAGGAUUAGAUACCCUGGUAGUCCACGCCGUAAACGAUGAGUGCUAAGUGUUAGGGGGUUUCCGCCCCUUAGUGCUGCAGCUAACGCAUUAAGCACUCCGCCUGGGGAGUACGGUCGCAAGACUGAAACUCAAAGGAAUUGACGGGGGCCCGCACAAGCGGUGGAGCAUGUGGUUUAAUUCGAAGCAACGCGAAGAACCUUACCAGGUCUUGACAUCCUCUGACAAUCCUAGAGAUAGGACGUCCCCUUCGGGGGCAGAGUGACAGGUGGUGCAUGGUUGUCGUCAGCUCGUGUCGUGAGAUGUUGGGUUAAGUCCCGCAACGAGCGCAACCCUUGAUCUUAGUUGCCAGCAUUCAGUUGGGCACUCUAAGGUGACUGCCGGUGACAAACCGGAGGAAGGUGGGGAUGACGUCAAAUCAUCAUGCCCCUUAUGACCUGGGCUACACACGUGCUACAAUGGACAGAAC
RNAcentral lists this ribosomal RNA (872 nucleotides) under Bacillus subtilis. RNAcentral's name for it is "bacterial SSU rRNA". It matches the Rfam family "Bacterial small subunit ribosomal RNA", at positions 376 to 1240 of the family's 1533-position model. The record is from RNAcentral. Lineage: Bacteria; Bacillati; Bacillota; Bacilli; Caryophanales; Bacillaceae.